AACCCCCUUCCCCCCGGAAGUAACUAGUCACUUGUGGCCUUGUUGAAUUGAAUUGAAUUUUAUUUUUACGGUCCCACAUCAAAAAGUAUAAACAUUAAAACCUUACAAUCAGAGGGGUUUUUUUAAAAAAAAAAAGAAAAAAAGAAAGAAAAGAAAAUUAAAACCAGAAAUUCAGCACACUAAAAGCAGAAAGUCCAGGAUAUGCAACCAUUCUAUGUGGCUCCAAAUAUGACACUUAAUUGAAAUCUGUGGAUAUAGAUAUUAAAAUGAGUAGGUUAAAACAUUAUCCACUAAAAUAAUCUGCCAUGUGCCUCCUUAUUUUUACAGCUGCAGCACAAAAUAUGUGACUUUGUUAUUCUUGGUGGAUUUCUUCCAAGUUCUUGUUCUACGAUGGUCCACAGUGCAAAAGGGGCUUGGGCUCUGUCAUAGUGGAGUAUGCUUUGUAUCUUUAAAAUGCUAAUGAGUUAAGUAUAGGUUCAUUUUAGCAGUUAAGUCAGGCCACUGCUCGAGAUGAGCAGUGUGCCUAAUUUUAAGAAUUUGGCUAACAAGAAACAAGAAUUCAUACCUAAAUGCUUAAAAAAAACCCCUAAAGAAACAUUCUUCUACACAUAUAAAAGUGCAAUGCUAUUUUUGGAACUCUACAGAAAUUGGACAACAGCAGAAGAGAUGCAGGCCUUCAGCAGAUGGAGUAUGAUGACAGUUGGCAGGUGUGCAGUUUCAAGAAUACAACACUCACUAUCAAGGAGCUGCUCCUAUCGCCUCUGCUGUCAGAGACCUAUGGACCUGUGGCAUGAACUUCCACACACAGCUCACCUAUUCUGCCUUCUAUAAAGCAACCAGGGACCUCAACCACUUCCAUAAAUGACUAGUAGGCUUGUGCAUUUUGGAAGAACCUCAUGCUGUUUCUGCUUUAUGUAUUCCAGGUGGCCAGCUGAUCUGUUUUCAUUCUCCUUCUGAAAAUGGGUGUGUGCCCAAAUAGCUGUUUUUGGUCUGCAGCUGGAAAAUGCAGCUUGAUCCGGCCCCGAUUUUUAGGAUUUUUUUCUUUCUAGAAAUAAUAUCUACCUAAAACUAUUGCCAGAAAGGUAUCCCCCACUGGCCCUGUCCUGUAACUUCUCCAGGAGCACCAUUUCUUCCUGCCAAAUGUUAAAGAUGCACUUUCACAUCACACAGCCUACUAUUACACUUUCUUUAUUAAUAAAAAGCAACAGCAACUUCUUCCGAAACAUUUGCAGUUUGCAUUUCUUGUUCUCACAACAUACUGGAAAAGGUCAGCAGCCCACCAUCCGCAAGCAAGCAAGCAGCAUGUCCCCUUAUUAGAAAACACUCCUGUAUGAUCCAGAAAUUAUUAGGUAUUAGUGGUAAGUUUAGGUAGGUAGGUAGUUUUUCUGAGAAUGAGCCUUUGCUGUUUGCUGGAAUUCCUAUAAUUAUUAAUAACAAUAAUCUUUUAAAAGUAUUAUUUUGAUGAAAGAGAGGAGGGAGGAGAGAUAAGAGAAGAAGCUAAAGGCUUUAGUAGAGGCUAAGGGUGACUCAAAGCUCAGAGCAACCGUAAAAGAAAAGCACACCUACAAACACUGCACAAAACCCAGCCAACUACCCACCCACACUUCCCAACUCCCAGUCCCACUAAAUAAAGAAUCCAGAAAAUAAAGGAAAAUCAAAAGGAUUCAGUGCUAGAGAGAGGCCAAGUCAAGCCAAAAGCUAAAGCUGAGAGAAAGCAGCGGCAAGGCAUUCGGACUGAAACACCUCUCUCUAGACCAAGGACGCAACUGAGCAAUGGAGGUGCUUGUCCUACUAAAAACACAGCUUGUGUAAGACACAUCAUGGCUGUUUCUUCUAUUCUUAUUGGCCCAACAGGCAGGGCUCACAGGGAAACCUAUCAGCAUGUCACAUGAUCCCAAAUAGAGCAGAAGGAGUCAUGACUGGCAGCCACAUGAUCUGGCUAAGUCAAAAAAAAAAUGGUGGCAGAGCUCUUGCUGUUAUGGGCAUCUGAACAAGUUGAAGAAGCUGAAGGAAAACGAAUCUAUGUACAAAUCCAAUGAUUGGUCCUCAUAGAAAAUUCCUGCAACGGGUUGGUUGCACAGAAGUACUCCAUUUGUGGAAACCAGGGAAUGGAGGGGGAGGAUCUAAAGUACAAACCAAAGAUAUUUCUUUUCAUUCCUUCUCUUAACUGGAAAUCCUGCAGGGUGAUCUAAACAUUUACCACACCAUGGAGUUAUGGGGCCUUCAGGGCUGCAUUUUCCAGGGUCUACUAGUUACUGCCUACCUUGGCUACAAGGAUUUGGGACUUGUACUCUAAAAAUUAAGUCUGGAGGUGGCCAAAUGCUGGCCUUUUUAUAUUAAUCUGAUGUCUGUUUUCUUUUAAUAGCAGCAUUUUAACAAUGUAUUGCUAAUUUGUUUUGUAAAAUGUUCCAGAAUAACUUAUUAAUGAUUUUAAUUAUACCUAGUCAUUAUUUCAUAAAUAUUAAAACAAAGUAUGCAUAGAUUAUAUAUGAAUGCAUAAACUAAACAAGACCACAACUUGAAAUGGAUAAAUUCAGUGUUCUUUGGCUUUCACCCUUCCUCAAGGAAACAAAGCAAAUGUUAAUAUGGAAAAUUGUUAUUCAUUGACGUGGGAGCGGGGAAUGGAAAGCUAGGCUGAUUUCAUCAUAAUUGUUAGAGCAGACAAACAUCUCCCGACAUGCGUCCAAGUCCAAUUCUUCUAUUUUGGAAAAAUCAAGAAAACAACAUAAGGACUUUACAAUGCAUGACUGAACCUCAGCAGUGCCAACAAUACAAUUUCUUUUAUGUUUUGAAAAACAUGCCACCUUUACAAGUGGAAGGCAUCUUAUCCUUUUAAUUUUUUGUGUGUCAUAUACAUAAUAAUAUAGUGUGAGAGAGACAGGGGAGGGGGAGACGGAUGAUUUCUUUAGUUAAAUCUCUAUAGACUGAGCCAUGAACCAGGGGGAUUUGAGUCAAGAUGCGGAGCUCUAUCAGAUGUUUUUAGCCUUUCCAAACCACGUUGGGCCCCAUUGCUGCGAGAAAGAUGUCAUAUAAAAUAACUAAAUACCAAGGCAGAGACAUUUCCAGUUUUUAGAAAGGCCUCCUAAAUCAUCCUAAAACAACUGAGAGAGAUUGAUUGCCCCUCAUGGCCCCUAGCGGAUAUAAGGAGCCUUUGUAAACAAAUAGGAAAAAAUGGGGGGAGGAGGGGGUGACAGGAGAAGCAGGCAAUAUCACCCAUAAACCUCACUUUUCCCACAUCUGCUCUGCCAAACAUCCAUGGACAACCUGUGUAUAGUGUAAACACCCAUAUUUAUAUGCAAAUGAAAUCAUGGACUGAGGGCCGGGAUGACAUCUAUUGUCCCUCCUUCCACCCUCCACAUGUUCAUUGUCCUUUGAGUACUGGAGCCUAUUCAGAAACUCAUGGAUGGUGAUGGGACAAUGCAUAAAUUUUUACUACCUUUCUGAUUAAAAAAAAAAGUUUUUCCUCUCAAAUAUUAGAAUAGCUUCACUGCUUAAUGUUCUGCUUGGUGCACAAUAACUAUGUCCCACGAAGUCCUAUACGACUUUGUCCAAACUAUGUGAAAGAUUAUAUUUUCCCAUCUGACAUAUUCCUGUGUGGCAUGUGGGCAUUUUUCUGCUGUCAUCAUCAUUGGCUUCUUCACCUCUUCCUCCGUUUCUAUGACAAGGUGCCGGGACAGGGAAAGUAAGGUUCUUCUGCUACCCCAGCUACUUCCUACUACAAUGGGAGCGGUGGCUACUUCCUUGGAAUGUUCCACCCUGCACUAUUGCAUGGAAAUGAUACAGAAUUUAGGCAUUCAGAUAAAUUUAGUGACUAUAAAAAUCUGGGAGCAACAAAACAAAAUAAAAAAAUAGCAUCUGCUUAUAGUGUAUGCAACUGAAACUAUCUGAUUUGAAAGCAUUAUUAUAAUUGGUUUAUUAUGACAGCAUGGGCCAGAACACAUGAACAUUAUAAGGUUCAUAAAGUAAAUAAGCAUCAAGUUUUACCACUACAAGUAUAUUGCUACGGUACAUGAAAACUAGGCUGAC
Anolis carolinensis (green anole) is the source of this 4026-nucleotide long non-coding RNA. The record is from Ensembl. NCBI's taxonomy places the organism in Eukaryota, Metazoa, Chordata, Lepidosauria, Squamata, Anolidae.